GCCGCCACGUUCCAGAGGAGGGCGGACGGGUGAGCGAGCCCAGAGUCGCGUACCUCCGGGCUCUGGCCGCUUCUUUCCUCUCAAGCCGACCUUCGCGCUUGCUUCCUGCCGCCCCGUCCCGACCCGGGGCUGGCGACAAUCCCGCGGUGGCUGGUGACGUUCGCUCCGGCUUGGCCGAGCACAGGAAGCCCGCGCCUACGGUCGUGCGACCCUUUUAUAACCCACUUGUGACUCAUAACCGACCGGGCGGCUUUUCUGUCACCCCCCCCCCUUCCCCUCCUCCUGCCUCUUCUUGGAACCCACAGCUUGAAAAACUUUUUUUUUCUUUUUAAAGGAAAAGUCGAAAAAGUCCAGCGCCCCGAGGAGGGGUGUUUUCCCCUUUCCCUUUCUCGUGGGUCACUCGGUGUGUGUUUUCUCUUACACCCGCCAUGUACUUUCCUGACCCGCGCAGCAAGGCUGGGGCGCCAACCUUUGUUCGCAAUGAAAAGGAAACGCAUUCAAAUUACGGCCAGACGUUGCCGAGCUUUCAGUCGGCUGGAGGGGAAGUGCUGCUUCUUACAACUGGCUGGCUGGGGAGUCUACACCCUGCUUGUAGUUGAGAAAGAAAAGUGAAGCAAGUGGAAAGUUCUCCCUUCCUGCUCCUACUGAUUCAGCCAGAGGCAAGCGGUCCCUAACCGAGGAAGGAAUGUCUUCUAGGGACGGUCUGUGUGGCCACGCCCUUAUUUCCCUCAGAGAUUCCACAUGUAAGAGAAAACGUGAGACCCGUCUUUCCGAAUCUGGCUUAACAUAAUGAUCUUCACUUCCAUCCAUUUUACUGCAGAUGACAUGAUUUCAUUUUCCUUUAUGGCUGAAUAAUACUCUAUUGUAUAUCUUCUAAGAUUUCUUCUGGAAAAACUGACAUUUUUGGGUGUAAACUUCAUUUCUAAAGGAUUGCAGCUCACCUGAAAUAUAAGACCAAGUCAGAGAAAAACUUACCUUCACUCUGUUUUGAGGAUGUUCAGCUUUCGUUUUAGAAUCCAUCUUAUCUUCUUUCUAUGUUCAAGAAGGUCUUCAUUGUUUCUGCCCAAGGCUUCCUGCAC
This 1079-nucleotide long non-coding RNA is filed under the name Heterocephalus glaber (naked mole-rat). RNAcentral's name for it is "lncRNA (ENSHGLG00000037216.1)". Lineage: Eukaryota; Metazoa; Chordata; Mammalia; Rodentia; Bathyergidae. The record is from RNAcentral.